CGGGGGGAACGCGAAGAACCUUACCUAAGCUUGACAUCCUUUUGACCUCUCCCUAAUCGGAGAUUUCCCUUCGGGGACAGAAGUGACAGGUGGUGCAUGGUUGUCGUCAGCUCGUGUCGUGAGACGUUGGGUUAAGUCCCGCAACGAGCGCAACCCUUGCCUUUAGUUGCCAGCAUUAAGUUGGGCACUCUAGAGGGACUGCCAGGGAUAACCUGGAGGAAGGUGGGGACGACGUCAAAUCAUCAUGCCCCUUAUGCUUAGGGCUAUACACGUGCUACAAUGGGUGGUACAGAGGGUUGCCAAACCGUGAGGUGGAGCUAAUCCCAGAAAACCGGUCGUAGUCCGGAUCGCAGUCUGCAACUCAACUGCGUGAAGUCGGAAUCGCUAGUAAUCGCGGAUCAGCUUGCCGCGGUGAAUACGUUCCCGGGUCUUGUACACACCGA
Molecule: ribosomal RNA, 443 nt
Filed under: uncultured bacterium
Lineage: Bacteria
Description: bacterial SSU rRNA
Rfam family: Bacterial small subunit ribosomal RNA
Source: RNAcentral